GGCAGCCUUCUUCUUCCUCUCUCUUUAACCCAGCUGAACCAUUUCUUCUUCAUUUUCUUCGUUCUCUUAACGGCACUAUUUCUGCUUGAAUUUUUUUAUUGACAAAUUAAACCAUUUGCGGAAGAUGAAAUACAGAAAUAAUCAGGAAGUAAUUGAUAUUGUAAUGAUGGUACAUAGCAACAGCCAACAGCCAACAAACUGCAUCAAAAGCUCAGAACACUUGAAACUGACAAUCAGAACUCGCAUUAAAACAAAGAUCUUUAACACUUCGAAGCUACAAAACAUUAGAUUUUGAAACUUAAAUUCAUAAACACUUUUCAUUAUUUGCCGCCACCACCACCAUUUCCACUGCCGGAACCGGUUCCUACACCUUUGCCCGAACCACCUCCCACACCAAUGCUUAUCCUAAUUCCAAUACCAACUCCUCCUCCAUGGCCACCACGGCUGCCGAGACCUCCACCAGAACCACCGCCUACACCGCCCGCAGCACCAAAGCCACCGCCGUGACCUGACCCAGCACCAAAGCCACCGCCAUGACCUGACCCACCUCCUAUCCCACCACCACCACCUCCCCCAGCUCCGCCUCCUUCUCAAAUGCCUCCACCGGCACCAAAUCCCCCACCAUGACCUGACCCUCCACCUAGACCUCAACCACCACCCCCGCCUCCACCUCCUCCUCUAGCUCCACCACCAAGACUACCACCGACACCUCCUCCAGCUCCAAAUUCUAGUACGGUGAAAUGAAGAGGAAGAGAAAGCAUAUGUGGUCUGCCGUUCUGGGCUUCAGGCAUUGCUUUUGCCUUAAGCGUGAGAAUUUGGCCUUUUGAAAAACGGCGUCGUUUUACCGAGAAAAACAAAAACAAAAAUAAUAGAUGAAACGGCGUCGUUUUAGAUCUCUUUCGGGGUUUCACCCGG
This 915-nucleotide long non-coding RNA is filed under the name Citrus maxima (pomelo). RNAcentral describes it as "long non-coding RNA (CMAX_LNC004015)". Lineage: Eukaryota; Viridiplantae; Streptophyta; Magnoliopsida; Sapindales; Rutaceae. The record is from RNAcentral.